RNAcentral lists this long non-coding RNA (360 nucleotides) under Elaeis guineensis (African oil palm). Its description in RNAcentral is "long non-coding RNA (EGUI_LNC022645)". The record is from RNAcentral. Lineage: Eukaryota; Viridiplantae; Streptophyta; Magnoliopsida; Arecales; Arecaceae.
AAUAACUUGAUCAAGUCAUAUAGAUCAAUUUGAAAGCAAGUGUGAUAUUUUUUAUAAAUUUGUAACAUUAAAUAUGUAUGGAAAAUCUAAUUAUUGUUAGCACAAGUUAUAUAAUUAGAAAGAGGAUAAUCAGUGAAAAAGCAACUUAACUUUUAUUAUAAGAUUGUUGGUUUAGAUAUCACACGAAUGGCUGUCCUAAGAUAUUUGGUCAAGGGUAGGGUUCAUUUAACAUAACUUCCAAAAUGUAGCAUCUUCAAAUCCAUAUGAAUGAGGUUUCUUCUUUCCUUGGUUGUGUGUUGUAUCCAAGAACAAAAGAAGGUGAAAAAAGAUGACAAGGGAAAAAUAGCAAUACUUGAAUAU